Small nucleolar RNA from Branchiostoma floridae (Florida lancelet), 75 nucleotides. RefSeq annotates it as small nucleolar RNA SNORD53/SNORD92. NCBI's taxonomy places the organism in Eukaryota, Metazoa, Chordata, Leptocardii, Amphioxiformes, Branchiostomatidae. The record is from RefSeq and is a predicted model, not a curated record. The transcript has a single exon.
GUGCAAUGAUGGAGAACAAAAUGUGGUUUCCUGAUUCCCAAUGAAGCCAUCUAUCUCUUGGCUGUGUCUGAGCAC